GUGCCAGCAGCCGCGGUAAUACGAACCGUCCAAACGUUACUCGGAAUCACUGGGCUUAAAGGGUGCGUAGGCCGCGCGGAGGGUGGGAUGUGAAAUCCCCCGGCUCAACCGGGGAAUAGCGUCCCAAACCGCCGUGCUCGAGGGAGACAGAGGUGAGCGGAACUGAUGGUGGAGCGGUGAAAUGCGUUGAUAUCAUCAGGAACACCAGUGGCGAAAGCGGCUCACUGGGUCUUUCCUAACGCUGAGGCACGAAAGCUAGGGGAGCGAACGGGAUUAGAUACCCUCGUAGUCC
Molecule: ribosomal RNA, 292 nt
Filed under: uncultured bacterium
Lineage: Bacteria
Description: partial 16S ribosomal RNA
Rfam family: Bacterial small subunit ribosomal RNA
Source: RNAcentral